Long non-coding RNA from Equus caballus (horse), 1639 nucleotides. Lineage: Eukaryota; Metazoa; Chordata; Mammalia; Perissodactyla; Equidae. The record is from Ensembl.
AUAUCUUAGGUACAAUAAAAUGAGGUUUCUUGGUUAUAGAAUUAGGGAAGGCUCCUGACUCCAUGGAUGAAAUUUGAUGGGUGGGUAGGAAAUAACUAGUUGAAGGGGAAGUGUGGGUGAAUAGCAUUCCAGGAGUUCCAGGCAUUCCAGAAACAGGGAUUAGUACAGAUGAAGGCCAGGGGUGGGAGGAGCAUGGAAAAAGGCUAGUUAGUGUGGCUGGAGCACAAGGAGCAGGAGGAAGCACCUUAUGAAAUGAAACUAGAGAAGUGGGCAGGAACUAGCCACCUGGGGAUUCCUUAGACACCUUAAGGAUUUCAGUCUUCCUUAAAACUGAGUUUUAAGAGUGACUUCUUCUGACUUGAGCUGGCAGUGUGCUUUGAGAGAUCUACCACAGGAAAUACCUGCCUGCAGUGACAGGAACAGCAAGAUGGAAUAGCUUCAUUCUGAGGUCUAGGGUAAGGGAAAGAGGAAGAUGGCUCUCCCUGCCGUAAUUGCCUUCGUGAGACGGAGAAGAGAAAGGGAGACAAGUGAAAAGAAGACGAGAAAGAGACUGCAUAACAGGCCCUCUGGUGGCUUUCAGCUUCUCAGAAAAGGAGUGUGAACGGAAAGAUCCGAAAGAACUCCAGAUGUCCAUGGGGCCAAGGAGUGCAUCAUCAUAAUUCCAGACAGGUCUUAAUGAUUCCCCAGCCAUCUCGGGAACAGUCCCCUUGACUUUCAGCUUGGAUAUAUUUAACUUUGUACAUCCUAAUGAUUGCUAUGUAUAUGUGUGUGUCACACACACAAUAUCUUAUUCUGUAUUAUGACAUAUUGUGACAGUUGUGUUAAAUUUGUUGCUUUAUAUAUUUUUCUCCACUCCUGCCUCUUCUACUCCACCCUUUCUACUCCGUGGGUGGUCCGGGGACCAGCAGCAUCAGCCUCACCUGAGAGCUUGUUAGAAAUGCAGCAUCGCAGGUCCCACUCUCAGACCUGAUGAGUCAGAAUCUGCAUUUUAACAGGAUUCCCAGGGAUUCUCCUGCAUUUGAAUCUUUGAGAAUUGAUGUUUUACAUAAUGACUGUUUCAUUUUAUUUUUUUUUAGCCAACUGUGCUUUUAAUAAUGAGAUUAAAAUCCUUCAAAGUCAAAAUAUUGUGAAGGUAACCCUACUUUAAGAUUAGACCAGAUAUAGUGCACACAAUUAAGGCAUUUAAACGCAUUUUCUAGUUAAAUUAUUGAAUUUAUCAUUGAUAAGCGUAUUUAAAGCUUCUUAUUUUCAAAUUCUUUGAGUUUUGCGUUCUUAGCUCUCACAAACCUUGGCUCAUUCUUGUAGCACGGACUUUUCCAUUGCUUCAUCUUAUAAAGAGAUUUCUCAGACGUGUGAAGCCUUCCUCCUGUGGGCAAUUGUGUCUUCUUCUCCAUUUUGGUUUUAGCUCAAGCAACCGGUACCUGCAUGAAGCUUCUGUUGAUGCUUCAAAACCUGGCCUGAAAGGUUCUAGCAAGGACCCAUCCCUCUGUCAAGGUUCUCGCCAAAAGACCCUCAGCUUUUGAAUUUUCCCAACAUUGAGUAUCUUGUAAUGCAAUGAUAUGGGACUCUGCUGUCAGAAUUCUAGUUUUCUCUAUUUUUUUCUCAAUUUCCAAUAAAGGUUAAUUUACAUUUAUCCCAA